RNAcentral lists this long non-coding RNA (440 nucleotides) under Phasianus colchicus (ring-necked pheasant). RNAcentral describes it as "lncRNA (ENSPCLG00000016232.1)". The record is from RNAcentral. Lineage: Eukaryota; Metazoa; Chordata; Aves; Galliformes; Phasianidae.
UUUUUUUCCAAAAGAAUGAAACAUGUUUUAUCCAAACCAUUGUAUCCACAGGGGGAAAAGGGAAAGAAAGGCAAAAAGGGGCCUAAAGGGGAGAAAGGAGAACAGGGUGCUCCUGGAUUAGAUGCACCUUGCCCAUUGGGUCCUGAUGGAUUACCAAUGCCUGGCUGUUGGCAAAAGGUAGGAUGGGUAGAGCUGUUCUCCCCAGGGCAGCAUGUCUUUGGCACACAGAAAACCCUAUCACAGUCAUACUGAGCAAUACUUCAGAGCGUCUUAGGCAUCUCAACAUAUGCAGCAACACAAAAUAAGACCUCUCUGUGACCAUAGUUAGUGCGAUGAGGUUGUAAUGUAUAAUAGAAGUAGUAUCUCAUUGAGGCAGUAUUUUAGAAACAGCUGGCAUUAGAUUUCUGGGAAGCCUAAAAUGUUUUCAUAUGAAGAGUCAC